CAGGAGAAGCUGGAAAGUAUGUUAGCACCCCGCCUCAGGUUCCAAAGUGCAGUGUGGGUCAGAGCAACCCUGCAUCAUGCUUUCCCUGGCUUUUUUUUUUCCAUGCUCUUCAUCAAAGAAGCCCGUAUUAAAAUGAAUUAUCAGGCCAGCACUAAUAAGAAGAUGCAACAUGAAAGUCAGCUCUCUGCCAAGAAGGACGACAAACUCUUCUUUAACGACGAGGACAAAGAAAUACUUUAUCAGAUUAAAAGCUUAGCGGCUCUGGAAAGAAUCAUUGAAAGUCUCCGGAAAUCUUUAGGGAGCUCACUCAUGAAAAGAAGAAAGAAGUAUAAACAUUUGUUCAGGGGAGGCAAAUAUCGCAAGCGGAGAGAGAGCCUCUACUGAAAAACCAGGACUGCCCGAGGGACUGCCCACUCCCCUCCACCGCUAGGAAGGAAGAAGGAGUAGAGUUACUAACCAUUCUGUAUAAAGAAGAACCGUUUAUUCAAGGAGUGCCAAAUAAAACGAACCUAUUUAAAUAUUAAGUUAGAGGCAAUGUGGUUUUUUUUUCCUUAAACAAAAAAAGAAAUGAAAAUCUAAUUGAGCCUGAAAUAUAGGAGCGUCCAAAGCUUCUAUUGCCUACCAGGAGGAGCUUUGGAAAAAAAACGUAACCUCAGAGACUGUGCCACCAUCAGUUUCCUCCAGAGGAGCAGAACCUGCAAGGUGGGAGUAUAAACGUAGAAAGAUCGUAAAAGAGUCAUGAAGCGUUGGAUCACGUGAUCGUGGAGGCUGACAAGUCCCGAGAGCUGCAUCCAGGAGAGACGACGGUGUGGUUUUAGUCUGAGACUGAAGCCUGACAGCCUGGAGACCCAGGAAGAGCCCAUGUGUCAGUUCAAGUCCAAAGGCAGGAAAAGGCUGGUAUCCUGGUUGGAAGGCCAUCUGGCGGGAGGAGUCCUCUCCUACUCUGGAGAGGAUCAGAUUUCUGUUCUAUCUGGGCCUUCUGCUGCUCAGACCAGGCCCUCCCACUUCAUCCAGAAACAACCUCAUAGAAACACCCAGGAUAAUGUUUGACCAAGUGUCUGGGCACCCCAAGGCCCAGUCAAGCUAACGCAUGAAAUUAACAUUCACAUCUGUCCAUGAAGACCAGAACCUAUGACGUCCUGACAACCAGCCCUUCCACGCCCCGCUCCUGCCCAGCAUCAUGCAAUCCAUGAAGACCAGAAUCUAUGAAGUCCUGACAACCAGCCCUUCCAUGCCCCGCUCCU
Cervus elaphus (red deer) is the source of this 1244-nucleotide long non-coding RNA. RefSeq lists it as uncharacterized. Lineage: Eukaryota; Metazoa; Chordata; Mammalia; Artiodactyla; Cervidae. The record is from RefSeq and is a predicted model, not a curated record. The transcript has 3 exons.